GCGGGCAUAGCUCAAUGGCAGAGCUCCAGCCUUCCAAGCUGGCGGUGCGGGUUCGAUUCCCGCUGCCCGCUCCA
Molecule: transfer RNA, 74 nt
Filed under: Armatimonadota bacterium
Lineage: Bacteria; Bacillati; Armatimonadota
Also listed under: 1 other name
Description: Armatimonadetes bacterium (sediment metagenome) tRNA-Gly
Rfam family: tRNA
About the family: Transfer RNA (tRNA) molecules are approximately 80 nucleotides in length. Their secondary structure includes four short double-helical elements and three loops (D, anti-codon, and T loops).
Source: RNAcentral